CCUAAAAAAAGGCAAUUACAUACUAAUGGACUAUAGCAACAAUGAAAUGGGCUAAUGUGUUACUCUGGCGCGUUGAUAUCUAUCUUCUAAAAUGUUCGAGAAACUUUUUUUUCUUCAAGCACUUAAAGGCAGGUCCGAGGCUGCAAGAUAUAAUGCCAUGUUUGGAGAUAGAUUCACUUUUGUUACUAGGGCUGUUCGGGUAAUUGCUUUAAGCUUUGAUAUGGCCUGUCAUGGACUUGGCUUCUCCAAGCAUACGUGUCACUCUUAACUUCCAAAAACUGCCUUCUUGUAGAUGUGGGGUGUGGAUCAAUUCCUUGCCAACUAUGAAUCCAAUCUCUUUUUUCUGUUUGUCACUACCUAAGCAAGCAGAUGUUUUAGGCUAAUGGAAAUAUGAGAGUUUGAAUGGUUAGGACAUGAACAAGUAAUAUACAUUUUAGCUGCUGCAAUUCUAAUUUGAAUGUCUGAAUGGUAAGGAUCAACAACUAACUUCUAAAAGUAUUAACACAAUAUUCUUGAAGUGUUUUUGACCUUAUAAUUUAGGUAUAACAUGCGUAGUAAGUACAUAUUUUAAAUAAUUUUUACUUUGUUAUCUCUGUUUUUCAUUUGUACAAUCAUAGUGUGAAUUUCUUUACAUUCAGCUGAUGUAGUCUUUGGAAUGGUCAGUAAAUGGUAUGAAGAUAUCCUCAUCCAACCCUGGGCCUUCUAUAAAUUUUAAUCAUUGUGGAAAAUUAUUGGCUUCAGUUUGUUACCUGACUGGAAAACAAUGUAUUAUCUUUAUGGAUCAUACUGAUCAAUCAAGUGAAAUUGGGUGUCUUGUUUCUCUACUAGCGUCUUAUGUCAAGCUUUAAGUUUUUUUCCCUCUUUAUGAGUAGAUGGACUUUCUCAUGGUGUCCUAGCUCAAGCUAUACCCCUCCUUGAUUGAUUUUUAAACAAUGUUUUUCCAAAAAAAAUGGUCAUCAAACAGGGGCUUAGUGCAAAAAAGUUUCUGCAUUUGUGGAUAAGAAGAUAAAUUUAUACUACAAGAAAAAAAGCCUUGAAUGAUUUCAAAAUUUCUAUGAGUUAUAGUUGAGCAAGGCAAUUUCAACCUUUUGAGAUCUGAAGCUCUCAAGGCUUGAUAAGCUUUGGGACAAUAUAAGGGUCAGUUGAUGUAGUAUUUGGAGCAAAUGCCCGCAUUCCCAUUAUGAUAUACUGAUCUUAGCGACAAUGAACCACCGAUCAGUUAAAUUACCCCCUUCAGUAAGGAUCUGAAAGCAUAGAUGAACAGUGCUGUAGUGAAGCUUUUUUCAAACAUGCAUGAUUUCUCGACAAAGUAUUAGAGCCUAGUCUUCUGUCAUGUACCAUGAAAAAUUAUUUCCCUGCUACUGUUAGAACAUACUGUUACCCUAGGUACUACUUUUAUAUAUAAUCUUUAGAUCUUUUCCAGUUUUCAACUGGACAAAAUUAUAAUAGUACUUUCAAGUCUAUGAUGAAAAUUGGUAAAGUGACAUCAACAUUAUAUGUUUAACAUUGGUCAAGUGACAACAGCAUUAUAUGUUUAACAAGCAACUAUACAAGCUCCAUGCUUUAGCCACGUGGAUUCCGAUAAAACUUACCAACUCAUGGAUAAUUCUGGGUAACCAGGUAGUGCAGAGUCAUCAAUCUAAUUUGAUCUUUCGGCCUCUUAAUGAUAACUUUUGGAAUUGUUAUUUAGCGAGAUCAAGUAUCUAAUGGUCCAAAUUUGAAGUGAGUCUCCCAUACCUCCAGUUAAUUGAGUCCACAAUCGACUGUCUUAAACUGAAUAUUAUCCUUGAACUUUAAAUACUUCCAUAGUUUGGUUGAUGAAAUAUAUGAGAUGAUAUGACCUUCUAUGUGGUGUACAUAAUCGUAUAGCUAUCUCUAAAUAAAUUGCACCGUCUAGGAAAGUUUUAAUAGUUGGCAUAAGUAGAAAGUGUGGAAUUUAUUAUAGUACCCUCUUAGUGUUGGGCUAUAAAAAUAAAAUAUCUGUAAAAUAAUCUUACAAAAUGAUAAGCUAAGAUGUAUGCAUGGUACAAAUAAGACUCCCUUGUACAAGAGCGACACAAUCUCAGUUGGACAAAUUGGGCUAUAGUCCUUUAGUUGUUAACGGUCUAGUUUUUUAGCCCUCGUUUGUUUCCUAUUUUUGAAAGAAUGAAAAUGAAAAAUAUAGUUGUUACGAGCCCCACACAAGGGAUAAAAAUUCAAAUUUGGUGGCUUGAUGUGAUGGAUAACGAUCAUAUUUUUCAUUUUAAUGAGGAAAGAAUGGAAAACAAACGGGGAGUAAACUGAAUAAACCUUUUUACGUAGCUCAACUUAAUUUUAUGGGGAAAACUCUUACUUCGUCUUGGUUUGUCAUGUUACAGUGGUCUCUCUCUCAUCCUUGUGCGUG
Molecule: long non-coding RNA, 2383 nt
Filed under: Olea europaea (common olive)
Lineage: Eukaryota; Viridiplantae; Streptophyta; Magnoliopsida; Lamiales; Oleaceae
Description: long non-coding RNA (OEUR_LNC004678)
Source: RNAcentral